RNAcentral lists this ribosomal RNA (421 nucleotides) under uncultured bacterium. RNAcentral describes it as "bacterial SSU rRNA". It matches the Rfam family "Bacterial small subunit ribosomal RNA", at positions 356 to 773 of the family's 1533-position model. The record is from RNAcentral.
GAGGAAUAUUGGUCAAUGGUCGAGAGACUGAACCAGCCAUGCCGCGUGCAGGAAGAAGGCCUUAUGGGUUGUAAACUGCUUUUGUACGGGAGAAAAAAGACAGUCGCGCAUUGUCAUUGAUAGUACCGUAAGAAUAAGGAUCGGCUAACUCCGUGCCAGCAGCCGCGGUAAUACGGAGGAUCCAAGCGUUAUCCGGAUUUAUUGGGUUUAAAGGGUGCGUAGGCGGAUUAUUAAGUCAGUGUUGAAAGGCUAAAGCUUAACUUUAGAAGUGGCAUUGAUACUGGUAGUCUUGAGUACAGAUGAAGUGGGCGGAAUGUGUCAUGUAGCGGUGAAAUGCAUAGAUAUGACACAGAACACCGAUUGCGAAGGCAGCUCACUAAGUUGUAACUGACGCUGAGGCACGAAAGCGUGGGGAUCAAAC